This 2288-nucleotide ribosomal RNA is filed under the name Escherichia coli. RNAcentral's name for it is "partial 23S ribosomal RNA". It matches the Rfam family "Bacterial large subunit ribosomal RNA", at positions 677 to 2925 of the family's 2925-position model. Lineage: Bacteria; Pseudomonadati; Pseudomonadota; Gammaproteobacteria; Enterobacterales; Enterobacteriaceae. The record is from RNAcentral.
CCGAGUCUUAACUGGGCGUUAAGUUGCAGGGUAUAGACCCGAAACCCGGUGAUCUAGCCAUGGGCAGGUUGAAGGUUGGGUAACACUAACUGGAGGACCGAACCGACUAAUGUUGAAAAAUUAGCGGAUGACUUGUGGCUGGGGGUGAAAGGCCAAUCAAACCGGGAGAUAGCUGGUUCUCCCCGAAAGCUAUUUAGGUAGCGCCUCGUGAAUUCAUCUCCGGGGGUAGAGCACUGUUUCGGCAAGGGGGUCAUCCCGACUUACCAACCCGAUGCAAACUGCGAAUACCGGAGAAUGUUAUCACGGGAGACACACGGCGGGUGCUAACGUCCGUCGUGAAGAGGGAAACAACCCAGACCGCCAGCUAAGGUCCCAAAGUCAUGGUUAAGUGGGAAACGAUGUGGGAAGGCCCAGACAGCCAGGAUGUUGGCUUAGAAGCAGCCAUCAUUUAAAGAAAGCGUAAUAGCUCACUGGUCGAGUCGGCCUGCGCGGAAGAUGUAACGGGGCUAAACCAUGCACCGAAGCUGCGGCAGCGACACUGUGUGUUGUUGGGUAGGGGAGCGUUCUGUAAGCCUGUGAAGGUGUGCUGUGAGGCAUGCUGGAGGUAUCAGAAGUGCGAAUGCUGACAUAAGUAACGAUAAAGCGGGUGAAAAGCCCGCUCGCCGGAAGACCAAGGGUUCCUGUCCAACGUUAAUCGGGGCAGGGUGAGUCGACCCCUAAGGCGAGGCCGAAAGGCGUAGUCGAUGGGAAACAGGUUAAUAUUCCUGUACUUGGUGUUACUGCGAAGGGGGGACGGAGAAGGCUAUGUUGGCCGGGCGACGGUUGUCCCGGUUUAAGCGUGUAGGCUGGUUUUCCAGGCAAAUCCGGAAAAUCAAGGCUGAGGCGUGAUGACGAGGCACUACGGUGCUGAAGCAACAAAUGCCCUGCUUCCAGGAAAAGCCUCUAAGCAUCAGGUAACAUCAAAUCGUACCCCAAACCGACACAGGUGGUCAGGUAGAGAAUACCAAGGCGCUUGAGAGAACUCGGGUGAAGGAACUAGGCAAAAUGGUGCCGUAACUUCGGGAGAAGGCACGCUGAUAUGUAGGUGAAGUCCCUCGCGGAUGGAGCUGAAAUCAGUCGAAGAUACCAGCUGGCUGCAACUGUUUAUUAAAAACACAGCACUGUGCAAACACGAAAGUGGACGUAUACGGUGUGACGCCUGCCCGGUGCCGGAAGGUUAAUUGAUGGGGUCAGCGCAAGCGAAGCUCUUGAUCGAAGCCCCGGUAAACGGCGGCCGUAACUAUAACGGUCCUAAGGUAGCGAAAUUCCUUGUCGGGUAAGUUCCGACCUGCACGAAUGGCGUAAUGAUGGCCAGGCUGUCUCCACCCGAGACUCAGUGAAAUUGAACUCGCUGUGAAGAUGCAGUGUACCCGCGGCAAGACGGAAAGACCCCGUGAACCUUUACUAUAGCUUGACACUGAACAUUGAGCCUUGAUGUGUAGGAUAGGUGGGAGGCUUUGAAGUGUGGACGCCAGUCUGCAUGGAGCCGACCUUGAAAUACCACCCUUUAAUGUUUGAUGUUCUAACGUGGACCCGUGAUCCGGGUUGCGGACAGUGUCUGGUGGGUAGUUUGACUGGGGCGGUCUCCUCCUAAAGAGUAACGGAGGAGCACGAAGGUUGGCUAAUCCUGGUCGGACAUCAGGAGGUUAGUGCAAUGGCAUAAGCCAGCUUGACUGCGAGCGUGACGGCGCGAGCAGGUGCGAAAGCAGGUCAUAGUGAUCCGGUGGUUCUGAAUGGAAGGGCCAUCGCUCAACGGAUAAAAGGUACUCCGGGGAUAACAGGCUGAUACCGCCCAAGAGUUCAUAUCGACGGCGGUGUUUGGCACCUCGAUGUCGGCUCAUCACAUCCUGGGGCUGAAGUAGGUCCCAAGGGUAUGGCUGUUCGCCAUUUAAAGUGGUACGCGAGCUGGGUUUAGAACGUCGUGAGACAGUUCGGUCCCUAUCUGCCGUGGGCGCUGGAGAACUGAGGGGGGCUGCUCCUAGUACGAGAGGACCGGAGUGGACGCAUCACUGGUGUUCGGGUUGUCAUGCCAAUGGCACUGCCCGGUAGCUAAAUGCGGAAGAGAUAAGUGCUGAAAGCAUCUAAGCACGAAACUUGCCCCGAGAUGAGUUCUCCCUGACCCUUUAAGGGUCCUGAAGGAACGUUGAAGACGACGACGUUGAUAGGCCGGGUGUGUAAGCGCAGCGAUGCGUUGAGCUAACCGGUACUAAUGAACCGUGAGGCUUAACCUUACAACGCCGAAGGUGUUU